AUUGAACGCUGGCGGCAGGCUUAACACAUGCAAGUCGAGCGGGGGAAGGUAGCUUGCUACCGGACGUAGCGGCGGACGGGUGAGUAAUGCUUAGGAAUCUGCCUAUUAGUGGGGGACAACAGCACGAAUGGGAUGCUAAUACCGCAUACGUCCUACGGGAGAAAGCAGGGGACCACCUGUGACCUCGCGCUAAUAGAGGAGACUAAGUGGGAUUAGCUAGUUGGUGGGGUAAAGGCCUACCAAGGCGACGAUCUGUAGCGGGUCUGAGAGGAUGAUCCGCCACACUGUGACUGAGACACGGCCCAGACUCCUACGGGAGGCAGCAGUGGGGAAUAUUGGACAAUGGGGGGAACCCUGAUCCAGCUAUGCCGCGUGUGUGAAGAAGGCCUUAUGGUUGUAAAGCACUUUAAGCGAGGAGGAGGCUCUUUUGGUUAAUACCCAAGAUGAGUGGACGUUACUCGCAGAAUAAGCACCGGCUAACUCUGUGCCAGCCGCCGCGGUAA
Molecule: ribosomal RNA, 503 nt
Filed under: uncultured bacterium
Lineage: Bacteria
Description: partial 16S ribosomal RNA
Rfam family: Bacterial small subunit ribosomal RNA
Source: RNAcentral